This 496-nucleotide ribosomal RNA is filed under the name uncultured bacterium. Its description in RNAcentral is "partial 16S ribosomal RNA". It matches the Rfam family "Bacterial small subunit ribosomal RNA", at positions 28 to 506 of the family's 1533-position model. The record is from RNAcentral.
GAUGAACGCUGGCGGCGUGCCUAAUACAUGCAAGUCGAGCGAACAGACGAGGAGCUUGCUCCUCUGACGUUAGCGGCGGACGGGUGAGUAACACGUGGAUAACCUACCUAUAAGACUGGGAUAACUUCGGGAAACCGGAGCUAAUACCGGAUAAUAUAUUGAACCGCAUGGUUCAAUAGUGAAAGACGGUUUUGCUGUCACUUAUAGAUGGAUCCGCGCCGCAUUAGCUAGUUGGUAAGGUAACGGCUUACCAAGGCGACGAUGCGUAGCCGACCUGAGAGGGUGAUCGGCCACACUGGAACGGAGACACGGUCCAGACUCCUACGGGAGGCAGCAGUAGGGAAUCUUCCGCAAUGGGCGAAAGCCUGACGGAGCAACGCCGCGUGAGUGAUGAAGGUCUUCGGAUCGUAAAACUCUGUUAUUAGGGAAGAACAAAUGUGUAAGUAACUAUGCACGUCUUGACGGUACCUAAUCAGAAAGCCACGGCUAACUACGU